GGCUACUACAUCCAAGGAAGGCAGCAGGCGCGCAAAUUACCCAAUCCCGACACGGGGAGGUAGUGACAAUAAAUACUGAUACAGGGCUCUUUUGGGUCUUGUAAUUGGAAUGAGUACAAUUUAAAUCCCUUAACGAGGAACAAUUGGAGGGCAAGUCUGGUGCCAGCAGCCGCGGUAAUUCCAGCUCCAAUAGCGUAUAUUAAAGUUGUUGUGGUUAAAAAGCUCGUAGUUGAACCUUGGGCCUGGCUGGCCGGUCCGCCUCACCGCGUGUACUGGUCCGGCCGGGCCUUUCCCUCUGUGGAACCCCAUGCCCUUCACUGGGUGUGGCGGGGAAACAGGACUUUUACUUUGAAAAAAUUAGAGUGCUCCAGGCAGGCCUAUGCUCGAAUACAUUAGCAUGGAAUAAUAGAAUAGGACGUGUGGUUCUAUUUUGUUGGUUUCUAGGACCGCCGUAAUGAUUAAUAGGGACAGUCGGGGGCAUCAGU
RNAcentral lists this ribosomal RNA (485 nucleotides) under Neonectria neomacrospora. RNAcentral's name for it is "SSU rRNA". It matches the Rfam family "Eukaryotic small subunit ribosomal RNA", at positions 405 to 895 of the family's 1831-position model. The record is from RNAcentral. Lineage: Eukaryota; Fungi; Ascomycota; Sordariomycetes; Hypocreales; Nectriaceae.